UUAUGGGCACAACUGUAUAUACACAGUAUAUACCCCUUAAAGCAAGAUUUAUGAGAUGUAUGCAUUGGAGAUAUUAUUAACUUGAUAUUCCAUUUUUAGGUACCUACUUAUGAAGUAUUUCACUGACAUAUGUCAUAGUUGUGACAAUUUGGAGGACACGCAGCCAUGCACUUCAGUCCCUGCCCCUGUAGGAGGGACAAUAUCACGUUCCAGCUCGGACUAGCAGUUCUGCCAUUUGGCACCGGGCCGGUAGCUGAUUACGGCUUUGGUUAUAAAGGAACAGGAGUUGAUGAUGGUGGCGCUCUGUCAUGGUCCGUGUGAUCAGCGGGUGUGGGAAGAGGUGUCCCUCUACUCAUCUUGGAGGUCUGGAAGAAAGAGGCUUUCAUAACCCGGAGAUCCAUGGGACACCAACAUUCUCUAAGUAGUAAUGAUGAGCUAAGAUGACUUCAACGCUUUCUGAUUUGUAUAAAUAAAGCUUAAAAUGUUUAAA
This is a long non-coding RNA of Rana temporaria (common frog), 490 nucleotides long. RefSeq lists it as uncharacterized. The transcript is spliced from 2 exons. NCBI's taxonomy places the organism in Eukaryota, Metazoa, Chordata, Amphibia, Anura, Ranidae. The record is from RefSeq and is a predicted model, not a curated record.